Molecule: ribosomal RNA, 236 nt
Filed under: uncultured bacterium
Lineage: Bacteria
Description: partial 16S ribosomal RNA
Rfam family: Bacterial small subunit ribosomal RNA
Source: RNAcentral
AACGCGUAGGUAAUCUAUCCUUACAUUUGGGAUAACAUUGGGAAACUGGUGCUAAUACCGAAUGGUCUUCAUUGCUUUGGGGCGAUGGAGUAAAGGUGGCCUCUUCAUGAAAGCUACCGUGUAGGGAUGAGCCUGCGUACCAUUAGCUAGUAGGUGGGGUAAUGGCCCACCUAGGCUACGAUGGUUAGCGGGUCUGAGAGGAUGAUCCGCCACACUGGAACUGAAACACGGACCAG